Molecule: ribosomal RNA, 437 nt
Filed under: uncultured Clostridiales Family IV bacterium
Lineage: Bacteria; Bacillati; Bacillota; Clostridia; Eubacteriales; Eubacteriales Family IV. Incertae Sedis
Description: bacterial SSU rRNA
Rfam family: Bacterial small subunit ribosomal RNA
Source: RNAcentral
ACGGGAGGCAGCAGUGGGGGAUAUUGCACAAUGGAGGAAACUCUGAUGCAGCAACGCCGCGUGAGGGAAGAAGGUUUUCGGAUUGUAAACCUCUGUUUUCGGUGAAGAAAGAAAUGACGGUAGCCGAAGAGGAAGCCACGGCUAACUACGUGCCAGCAGCCGCGGUAAUACGUAGGUGGCAAGCGUUGUCCGGAAUUACUGGGUGUAAAGGGUGCGCAGGCGGGACUGCAAGUUGGAUGUGAAAUACCGAGGCUUAUCCUCGGAGCUGCAUCCCAAACUGUGGUUCUUGAGUGGAGUAGAGGUAAGCGGAAUUCCGAGUGUAGCGGUGAAAUGCGUAGAUAUUCGGAGGAACCCCGGUGGCGAAGGCGGCUUACUGGGCUCUAACUGACGCUGAGGCACGAAAGUGUGGGUAGCAAACAGGAUUAGAUUCCCUGGUA